Molecule: transfer RNA, 71 nt
Filed under: Loxodonta africana (African savanna elephant)
Lineage: Eukaryota; Metazoa; Chordata; Mammalia; Proboscidea; Elephantidae
Rfam family: tRNA
About the family: Transfer RNA (tRNA) molecules are approximately 80 nucleotides in length. Their secondary structure includes four short double-helical elements and three loops (D, anti-codon, and T loops).
Source: Rfam by way of RNAcentral
GCAGUGGUGGUUCAGUGGUAGAAUUCUCUCCUUCCAUGAGGCAGACCCAGGUUCGAUUCCCGGCCAACAUA